This is a long non-coding RNA of Spinacia oleracea (spinach), 1095 nucleotides long. RefSeq lists it as uncharacterized. The record is from RefSeq and is a predicted model, not a curated record. The transcript has 7 exons. Lineage: Eukaryota; Viridiplantae; Streptophyta; Magnoliopsida; Caryophyllales; Amaranthaceae.
UACUUGCGACUUUGGUUAGUAAGCGUUACGCCUUUACCCCACCAUAGAAUUGGAAAGAGUGCGAGAGGUGAGAGAAUCUGCUGUUGCUCUUCGAUUCAUCCCAAUUCUGCACACUUUUAGAACCGAAGAACCCUAAUUUUCACAACUUACAUCCCGACGAUUCGCUCUCUCGUCUAUUCUUACACCAGGAGUUUCUUGGCUGCCUCUGUGUGGGGCUACUUGCGUAAUGGCUUCUGUGUCGAGUCAGCCACAGUUCCGUUACACCCAACCUCCAUCGAAGGUGCUUCAUUUGAGAAACUUGCCAUGGGAAUGCACUGAGGAGGAGCUGAUUGAAUUGGGGAAGCCUUUUGGUAAGGUUGUCAAUACAAAGUGCAAUGUUGGGGCCAACAAAAAUCAAGCAUUCAUCGAAUUUGUGUUGGUGGAGGCGCAGUUGCCGUGUCAGCUGCUACUGGUGGUGGUGCAGGUGUUGCUGCCGCCGGGGCUCCAAAGUAGGAGAAUAAGGUUGAAGAGAAAGAAGAAUCGGACGACAUUGGCUUGGUUGCAAGAAAUGAGAGGAGGAAGUAUGACUUCCUAGGAAUUGGACAUGAGUGAUAAGGAAGUUACUCGUGUUUAAUGAUCGGGAUGCUCAAUGCAUAUUAUCUGUUCCUCUCAGCAUCAGGUCGACGAUUAUCGACGUGACAUACAUGUUUUCGGUUUUGUUAUUCUAAGACAAUACAUACGAGUCCGUAACUAGCAGACACCAGUAUUGCUUCUCAACAUCAGGUCAUCCCUGGAUAAUGGCAGACGACUUGGCUCCUGAUAAGCUUCUUGAUCACUCAGUCAUAUCACGGUUGACACAGUUCUGUUUAUCUACGGGUUAUUUCUGAUAGGCUUUCAGAUGAAGAAAUUGCAGAGGUCGAGGAGAUUUUUAAGAUAAUAGACAGAUAACAGUAGGUAGAUUGCUCAAAUGUUAGAGCAAUGUGUCAUUGCACAUGGAUGUCCUACGUUCCAAUAUUCUUUCUAUUUUGUUUAUAGCCAUGAAUUUUGGUCCAUCAUGUGAAGAAAUAUGUUGGACACAGAUUUUAUUAUGUCAGUCGGAGCAACUCUAUUAUGGUA